Pipra filicauda (Wire-tailed manakin) is the source of this 424-nucleotide long non-coding RNA. RefSeq lists it as uncharacterized. The record is from RefSeq and is a predicted model, not a curated record. The transcript has 3 exons. Lineage: Eukaryota; Metazoa; Chordata; Aves; Passeriformes; Pipridae.
GCCAAUGUACCUGCCCUUCUACCUGCCAGUUUACCUAUUCCCGUACCACCGGGUACCUGGCAGGGUACCUGCCGGUUUGCCCACCCAUGUACCCACCGGUGUAACGACCAGCGAACUCCCACGAGUCUCCCGCGGUGCCUCUCAGGAAGGGCAGGCUCCACAGCCAUACCCCGCAGCCUGGACCACGUGCCUUCUUCCCUUGUCCAGCAGAGCCCCGCAGCCAGGGUGGAAAAGCCUGGUGGAGUCCAUUGAGUUUUCUCCUAAGAUCUUGAACUUUGGUGUGAAAUCUUGGCUUUACUUCGGUCACUGAAAAUCAGUCCAGUUGACUUCAGAGAGAUUCAGAAACGGACAUCCGCUGACUGGAUCUGCCUAGGGUGAAGAAGAACACACAACACUUAAAUACAAAGCUUCUUCCUCUAAGUAA